This 376-nucleotide ribosomal RNA is filed under the name Sancus acoreensis. Its description in RNAcentral is "partial 12S ribosomal RNA". Lineage: Eukaryota; Metazoa; Arthropoda; Arachnida; Araneae; Tetragnathidae. The record is from RNAcentral.
AAACCAGGAUUAGAUACCCUAUUAUAUUUAAACAAAUUGGGUAGUAUUAUUAAUAAAAACCUUUAUACUUUGGCGGCAUUUUAUCUUAUUAGAGGAAUAUGUUCAUUAAUCGAAACCACACGAUAGUUUUUACUUACUAUAAAAUUUUAUAUACCCCCGUCUAAAGAAUUUAUUUAAAAUUUUUAUUCCAAAUUAUAUUAAAAAAAGUUAGGUAAAGGUGUAGACUAUUAGUAAGAUUAAAUGUAUUACAUUAAAAAAAAUUUAAGGAUAAAACAGUUAACUGUUUAUUAAAAGAGGAUUUAUAAGUAAUUUACUUUUAAUAAAAAUUAAUGAAUAAGAAAAUAAAUGUGCACAUAUCGCCCGUCACUCUCACAUA